AUUCUCUCGAAUAUACAUUAUAAACCCACCUGUGUAUCUUACCCGUUGCUUCCGCGCGUCAGUGAUCUCGGUCACCUCCGAACGAAAAGGCGCGAGCCAUAUCGGUCGGGGAGCACCCGCGGGAGGUAUACACCAAACCCUUGCAUUUCUAUGUCAUCUGUCUGAACCUGUUUAUAACAAAUGUUAAAACUUUCAACAACGGAUCUCUUGGUUCUCGCAUCGAUGAAGAACGCAGCGAAAUGCGAUAAGUAGUGUGAAUUGCAGAAUUCAGUGAAUCAUCGAAUCUUUGAACGCACAUUGCGCCUCCUGGUAUUCCGGGAGGCAUGCCUGUUCGAGCGUCAUUAAAAACCACUCAAGCUAUUUUGCUUGGUAUUGGGAGAUGGGAGCGUACCACGAUGCACUCCCUCCCGAAAUCCAAUGGCGGAAAGCCCCAUGUGCCCCGGCGUAGUAAGUUUUCUUUCGCUCGGAACGUGAGGUGAUCCUGCCCCGAACCCCCAAUCACUUUUCAGGUUGACCUCGGAUCAGGUAGGGAUACCCGCUGAACUUAAGCAUAUCAAUAAGCGGAGGAAAAGAAACCAACAGGGAUUGCCUUAGUAACUGCGAGUGAAGCGGCAAAAGCUCAAAUUUGAAAUCUGGCGUCUUUCGGCGUCCGAGUUGUAAUUUGGAGGGAUAUCUUCGGUGAUGGCGCCGUCCUAAGUUCCUUGGAACAGGACGUCAUAGAGGGUGAGAAUCCCGUGCCUGGAUGGCGGACCGUCACCAUGUGAAGUGUCUCCGACGAGUCGAGUUGUUUGGGAAUGCAGCUCANAAUGGGUGGUAAAUUUCAUCUAAAGCUAAAUAUUGGCGAGAGACCGAUAGCGCAC
This 860-nucleotide ribosomal RNA is filed under the name uncultured fungus. RNAcentral describes it as "eukaryotic LSU rRNA". The stretch from base 512 to 860 matches the Rfam family "Eukaryotic large subunit ribosomal RNA", at positions 1 to 345 of the family's 3401-position model. Lineage: Eukaryota; Fungi. The record is from RNAcentral.